UCUUCUAACACUUUUACACAGUAUAUCCAUUUCGAUUCAUCGACAAUAUUUCAUUACAUACAAAAUAUGCUUAUACAACAAUAACAUAAUAACCAACAAGAUUUGCCCAUAAUUCUGAAUAGCUCUCCACUGCCUCAGCCCAAUUCAAAACAUCUGAAAGAGUGACAACUUGACCUGAAAGAUUUAUAUAACAUUGGAGUGAGCUAAAAACAGCUCAACAAGUGACAAAGUAUAUUCAGAACAAAAGGAACAGUUUCAAACAAGUAAGAUAUCAUAAUGUAAGGCAGAAUACAAGAAUUCUCAAGGAUACCAUCUCAUUAGAUACAAAAUCAUAUGUGUCAUGUCAUUCAAAACAUAUUUGGUUCAUAACAAAUGGAGCACAGAGUAAUUGGAGCAUAUCAAUAGCGUACGAGAUGUUCCGGAGCAUAUCAAUGGCAAAUAGGACAUUUCAGAACAUAUCAGGUCAUAGCAAAUGGAGCACCGAGUAAUUGAAGCAUAUCAAUAGCGUAUGAAAUGUUCUGGAGUAUAUCAAUGACAUAUGGAACAUUUCGAAGCGUAACAAUAACAGAUGAAACAGAUAGAAGGUGAAGUGAGAUUCCAAACAUAAUAUGGUCCAUCCAUUUCUGAAUGACCACCAAACAUAAUCUAUAGCAUCGCAGGCUCUAAGCACAUACCCUUUACCAUUUCUAGCAAAGGUCCAAAUAAUCCCACAAACACUAGAGUACAAAAGGGUAUUGUGAACAAUAAUUUGAGACAGUAGCAGAUGAAGCAUUUCGGAGCAUAUCAAUGGCGUAUGAAAUGUUCCGGAGCAUAUCAAUGACAUGAAACAUCUCGAAGCGUAACAAUAAUAGAUGAAACAUUUCGGAGCAUAUCACUGGGGUAUGAAAUGUCUCAGAGCAUAUCAAUAACAAAUGAAACAUUUCAGAACAUAUUAAUAACAAAUACCAAAUAGAAGCUCAAACGUCGUAUUUGACGUUACAUUCAUAUCAUUCUUAUCCAAAGCAUGUACAAAAACACAUAACCAAAGUUCUGGAUAUCAUAUUAAACAUACAAAAGGUGUAGUGGGACCACAGACAGAAUGUGAUUCAUCCAUUUCUGAAUGACCACCAGACAGAAGUCUCCCACGUUUGGGAGGUCUCCCACAUCUUUGAGCUCUAUCCACCCACAUCUAGGUGAAGUCAGAGGGGGCCGGUAGAGCAUCGCAGGCUCUAUGCAUAACUCCCUUUACCGUUUCUAGCAAAGGUUCACAAAUCCCACAAACACCAGAGUAUAAAAGGGUAGUAUGAACAAUAAAUAGCAUAUAUUAGAAGUACACGCGGAACAACAAAACGUACAUGUGCCUUUACGAGUCAAUAAGAAGUAAGCAAUAAUCUUUCACAAUUGUAUUCAGAUUUGAAAGGAAAUGAAAGCAAGAGCAUUCAAGGAUUCCAAGCAAUCACAUAUAACUCAAUUCAAAUAAGAAGGUUAGAUGAAUUCAAUGUCCAAAGGAAUGAAACUGGAAUAGGCACGUAUCGAAAGCAAAUGCGGAACAAUGGGAUAUACAUAUGCCUAUAUGAAUCAAUACGAUAUAGCAUAAACGUUACACAAUAGUUUUCAAGAAUGCAAAUAAUUUUAAGGAGAAGAGCAUAUAAGAAUUCAAAGUAGUAAUAUAAAGCUCAAUUGAAUAAGAAAGCUAAAGGAUAUCAACUUCCAAAGGAAUGAACCCAGAAUAUGCAAAAUCGACCAAAGCUUGAUUUCUGACAGAAUUCAAGAGGCACAUUGAACAAAUGAUUCAAACCAUCAAUUGUGCUCCAAUAUACUCAAGAAAGCUAUUGUGGAAAGAUAUUUCCAUCUAUUUUCAGAUAAAACAAGUCUCGUAUGAAUCAAAAUUUCUAACAAAGAGUUACAAUAGAUUUAGUAACCCAAGAUCAAAGAACAAAUCUCAAUUUUACAGAAUUCAUAGGGUCGGUUUCAAUAGAAAACUGGGCAGGCUUUUGGACUCUAAAUCUUUCAAUCCAGGUAUCAAAGAAAGAUCUAUGAGUCUAGUUUCCAAUGAAAUAAGCUUUGAAUAAAUCAACAUUUGCAAGAGGGACUUAUAAGCAGUUCAGUAUCAAAAGGUCAAAAAUUACGAUCCUUGUUUUGCAGAAUCUGUAGGUUCAUUUGAAACAGAAGUAUGGGCAAGCAAACUUACUCUGAAUUCUUAAAAUAAGCUAUCAAAAGAAAGGUUUAUGAGUCUAUAUUCUGAUCAAAUAAGUUUUGUCCAAAUCAGAGGUCAAUACAGGAAGUUAUAACCCUAAUAGAGUAGAAAGGUCAGAAUCUCAAAAGUUGCAUAGAUUCGAAUCGUUACGUCUAAAUAGGAGAUAUAUCAAAUACAAGGCUAGAACAAUUCAAAGUUCCUCAUAUUCAAAGCAAAUGUAGAGAUAAAAUUAUAAUAAGGAAAGAUCAGGACACUUGCAUUAGGAAAGAUUAGAAAGCUUACAAUAGGAAGGAUCGGAACACUUGCAAGAGAAAAGAUUAGAAAGCUUGCAAUAGAAAGGAUCAGAACACUUGCAAAAAGGAAAUGCAAUAGGAAAGAUAAGAACACUUGCAUGAGGAAGAUCAUAAUACUUGCAAUAAGAAAAAUUAGAACAAUUACAGGAGAAACGAUCGGGAAACUUACCUUUUGAAGGUUUUGAUCCAAAGAUUCGAAGAAGGUGUACGCUCGAAUCCUUUUUCUACUUUUCCUUCAUCCCCUCCCUGUUUGUUUUGUGCACUCGUUUUCUUUCUUUCUUCGCAACUACACCACGUGUCGAACAUCAAGGCACAGUCACCUGCUCUCUCUUACUCUCAUUCCUUCUUUUUCUUUCCCAAAUGCAGCUACCAUAGCCACCGCCGUUGCCGCUGCCACAGUCGCAGCCACGACCACAGCUAUUGUCACAACCGCAGCCCCCUUCCCCUGCACUGUCUUCUUCCUCCCCUUCUUUCGCAGACACAACUGCUGCAUACGCAGUCGCUGCCGCCGCGGCCGCAGUCCCGACCGCAGCCCCUUCUUUUUUUUCCCCUUUCCUUUCUUUCUAUUUCCCAAAAGCAGCUACUGCAGCCACCACCGCUACCGCAGCUACCGCAGCCAACGUCGCAGCCGUAGCCGCAAUCACAGCCAUGGCCGUAGCCACCACAACCGCAGACUCUUCAUCCUCCCCUUCUUCUCUUCCAGCUGCAGUUGCCAUCGCCGCAGCCGCCCCUUCUUCCCCUUCUCUUCUUCCUCUCCUUCCCUUCUUCCUUCCUCUUCCUCUUUCCCUGCUUCUUUCCCUUCUCCUCUUCCUUCUCCUUCCUUUCUUCUUCCCUUCUCCUCCCCGGCGUCACACACACCGUCUCCUCUGUUUCCUCUGCAGGAAACAAAGGUAUCACAACCUCUUCUCCUGCUUCCUCUUCUUCUUCUCUUCCUCUUCUCCACUUCUCCUGCCCGACACCCCAAACCUUUCCU
RNAcentral lists this long non-coding RNA (3442 nucleotides) under Musa acuminata (dwarf banana). RNAcentral describes it as "long non-coding RNA (MACU_LNC006873)". The record is from RNAcentral. Lineage: Eukaryota; Viridiplantae; Streptophyta; Magnoliopsida; Zingiberales; Musaceae.